GAUGAACGCUGGCGGCGUGCCUAAUACAUGCAAGUCGAGCGAACGGACGCGAAUCUUGCUUCUCUCUUGUUAGCCGCACACGUGUGUGUAACGCGUGUAUAAUCUCCCUAUCAGUCUGGGAUCACUUCGGGAAACCGUCUCUAAUCCCGUAUAAUCUUUUGCACCGCAUGGUUGAAUGGUGAAAUUCGGUCUUGCUGUCUCUACUCGAUGGAUCUGCGCUUCAUUAGCUAGUUGUUAAGGUAACGGCUUAUCAAGGCAACUAUGCAUAGCCGACGGGAGAGGGUGAUAGGCCACACUGGAAGGGAGACGCGGUCCAGACUACUGCGGGAGGCAGCAGUAGGCAAUGUUACGCAAUAGGCGAAAGCCUGACGGAGCAACGCCGCGUCAGUGAUGAAAGUGUUCGGAGCGGAAAACUCUGUUAUUAGGGAAGAACAGAUGUGGAAGUAAAUGUGCACAUAGUGACGGUACCUAAUCAGAAAGCAACGGCUAACUACGUG
Molecule: ribosomal RNA, 497 nt
Filed under: uncultured bacterium
Lineage: Bacteria
Description: partial 16S ribosomal RNA
Rfam family: Bacterial small subunit ribosomal RNA
Source: RNAcentral